UGGGACGAGAAAGGACGGUACCAUAUGAAUAAGUCCCGGCUAACUACGUGCCAGCAGCCGCGGUAAUACGUAGGGGGCAAGCGUUGUUCGGAAUUACUGGGCAUAAAGGGUGCGCAGGCGGAUUAUUAAGCAAGAGGUGAAAUGUCAAGGCUUAACCAUGGCACGGCCUUUUGAACUGGUAAUCUGGAGUACAGAAGGGGAGAGCAGAAUUUCCGGUGUAGGGGUGGAAUCUAUAGAUAUCGGAAGGAAUACCGUUCGCGAAGGCGGCUCUCUGGUCUGCUACUGACGCUCAUGCACGAAAGCGUGGGGAGCAAACAGGAUUAGAUACCCUGGUAGUCCACGCUGUAAACGUUGUACACUUGGUGGUUGGUCUUUAAGAUUGACUACCGGAGCUAAUGUGUUAAGUGUACCGCCUGAGGAGUACGGUCGCAAGGCUG
Molecule: ribosomal RNA, 437 nt
Filed under: uncultured bacterium
Lineage: Bacteria
Description: bacterial SSU rRNA
Rfam family: Bacterial small subunit ribosomal RNA
Source: RNAcentral